CCUACGUGAGGCAGCAGUGAGGAAUAUUGGUCAAUGGACGAGAGUCUGAACCAGCCAAGUAGCGUGAAGGAUGACUGCCCUAUGGGUUGUAAACUUCUUUUAUAUGGGAAUAAAACAGGGUAUGCAUACCCUCUUGUAUGUACCAUAUGAAUAAGGCUCGGCUCACUCCGUGCCAGCAUCCGCGGUAAUACGGAGGAACCGCGAGUUCUCCGGUGUUUUUGGGUUUAAAGGGAGUGUAGGUGGGUUGUUAAGUCCGUUGUGAAAGUUUGCGGCUCAACCGUAAAAUUGCAGUUGAAACUGGCAGUCUUGAGUACAGUAGAGGUGGGCGGAAUUCGUGGUGUAGCGGUGAAAUGCUUAGAUAUCACGAAGAACUCCGAUUGCGAAGGCAGCUCACUGGACUGCAACUGACACUGAUGCUCGAAAGUGUGGGUAUCAAACAGGAUUAGAUACCCCUGUAGUC
This 460-nucleotide ribosomal RNA is filed under the name uncultured bacterium. RNAcentral describes it as "partial 16S ribosomal RNA". It matches the Rfam family "Bacterial small subunit ribosomal RNA", at positions 338 to 795 of the family's 1533-position model. The record is from RNAcentral.